UGGGGAAUAUUGCACAAUGGGCGGAAGCCUGAUGCAGCGACGCCGCGUGAGGGAUGACGGCCUUCGGGUUGUAAACCUCUUUCAGCAGGGACGAAGCGCAAGUGACGGUACCUGCAGAGGAAGCACCGGCUAACUACGUGCCAGCAGCCGCGGUAAUACGUAGGGUGCGAGCGUUGUCCGGAAUUACUGGGCGUAAAGAGUUCGUAGGCGGUUUGUCGCGUCGUGUGUGAAAUCCCACAGCUUAACUGUGGGCUUGCAGGCGAUACGGGCAGACUUGAGUACUGCAGGGGAGACUGGAAUUCCUGGUGUAGCGGUGAAAUGCGCAGAUAUCAGGAGGAACACCGGUGGCGAAGGCGGGUCUCUGGGCAGUAACUGACGCUGAGGAACGAAAGCGUGGGGAGCAAACAGGAUUAGAUACCCUGGUAGUCCACGCCGUAAACGGUGGGUACUAGUUGUGGGUCCCUUCCACGGGAUCCGUGACGCAGCUAACGCAUUAAGUACCCCGCCUGGGGAGUACGGCCGCAAGGCUA
Molecule: ribosomal RNA, 530 nt
Filed under: uncultured bacterium
Lineage: Bacteria
Description: bacterial SSU rRNA
Rfam family: Bacterial small subunit ribosomal RNA
Source: RNAcentral